CCCUUAGAUGUUCUGGGCCGCACGCGUGCUACACUGAGUAAUUCAAUGGGUAAGGGAACGCUAGAGCAUUACCUAAUCUUGAAAUUUGCUCGUGAUGGGGAUCGACGGUUGCAAUUUUCCGUCGUGAACGAGGAAUACCUUGUAGGCGCAUGUCAUCAUCAUGCGCCGAAUACGUCCCUGCCCUUUGUACACACCGCCCGUCGCUCCUACCGAUUGAGUGAUCCUGUGAGGCUCUGGGACCUGGACGGAAAGAGCGUUUCGCUUGUUCUGUUUGGGAAACUUGGUCGAACCUUAUCAUUUAGAGGAAGGAGAAGUCGUAACA
This 322-nucleotide ribosomal RNA is filed under the name uncultured eukaryote. RNAcentral's name for it is "partial 18S ribosomal RNA". It matches the Rfam family "Eukaryotic small subunit ribosomal RNA", at positions 1470 to 1796 of the family's 1831-position model. The record is from RNAcentral.